Molecule: long non-coding RNA, 1016 nt
Organism: Lacerta agilis (Sand lizard)
Lineage: Eukaryota; Metazoa; Chordata; Lepidosauria; Squamata; Lacertidae
Exons: 4
Source: RefSeq, a predicted model, not a curated record
AGGGAAAAGGGAGGAGAGCUCCGGCUGAGGAGAAGGGGAAGAAGGCGCCCUCAGGCAGCUCGCGCUGGUGGGGUCCUGCGUCUCCCAGAGAAAUGCAUUUCGGUCGACGCCGCCGCCAAGGCACUCUGCACAUGCUCGGGCGACCUUCCUCCACUCGCACAAGCCUUGUCUCAAGGGAGGAAGCGGCUGUUUCUGCUGUCUGUGGGAGGCCGCCCAGCGCCGAUGGACUGGCGAGCGAGAGGCAGCAGGACCACCUCGGACGGGGAGGCAGCCGGCGCCAGGACGGGGACCGCAAAGGCACGCCCGGUCCCUGGACUCGCGGGCCACAGCUACCGUAGGGACCGCUCGCCGCUUCGGAGACGCUCCGAAAGGACUGAAGAGGGCGGCGGGAAGGAUUUUCCUUUUUUCGGACUUGCUGAAGCAGUUUCUUCGUGUGUGCGUGUUUUUAAAUUUUCCCGCUCGUCGGAGAUUGAGGAAUGAUUGCGUUGAUUUCGAAGACAAGCAGCCACAGAAGAGAUCAGCAGGAAACAGUUCCAUCGGCAGCGAGAUCCUGUUCGCUGCCUAGGGCGUUUGGACAAGGCGGCAUAGAGCAAAUCCAACAGGUGCAGUUGGCAGGAUGCUGCUUCUUGGUCUGCCACCUAGUGGAUUGAGAUGGACUUGUAUACCACUGAAUCAAAGCGCUGACCUCACAGUGGCCUUCCUGAAACCUUUGAAGAGUUUUCCUCAGUUAGAACUGCCUAAAACAAUGCAUUCCUGGGGAAAGAGGCCUUUUUGUUUUCCCCGGCAUACAUUUUGUUUGUCCUCCUUAUGAAGUGCAAAGGUAUCCUGCAUUGUGAUUUCAUCUUGAGAAUUCCUCAGAUAAAGGUAAUUUGGAAUUUAAAGUACAUCGUUGAAGUGUGGUUUUCUGUAGUCUGCAAGAUCCAUUUGAAGCUCUCUCUCCUCAUCAUCUGGAAUCAAAGGAGGCAAACCAACAUUAAGUUUUUUGAAACACAAUCCCAAGGAGGAUUCACAGGAGC